AUCGCUUCUCGGCCUUUUGGCUAAGAUCAAGUGUAGAAAGCAAUCAUAGCUUUUGUCAAGUGCUGAAUGUUAAUAUGACACCUUGUUCCAGUCUCACCUUCCUUCCACUGGGCUUUGGUAGGUGGGAGAAGCCACA
This 136-nucleotide small nuclear RNA is filed under the name Rhinolophus ferrumequinum (greater horseshoe bat). RNAcentral's name for it is "U2 spliceosomal RNA (ENSRFEG00010015463.1)". It matches the Rfam family "U2 spliceosomal RNA". From Rfam's summary of the family: U2 is a small nuclear RNA (snRNA) component of the spliceosome (involved in pre-mRNA splicing). Complementary binding between U2 snRNA (in an area lying towards the 5' end but 3' to hairpin I) and the branchpoint sequence (BPS) of the intron results the bulging out of an unpaired adenosine, on the BPS, which initiates a nucleophilic attack at the intronic 5' splice site, thus starting the first of two transesterification reactions that mediate splicing. The record is from Rfam by way of RNAcentral. Lineage: Eukaryota; Metazoa; Chordata; Mammalia; Chiroptera; Rhinolophidae.